This 433-nucleotide ribosomal RNA is filed under the name uncultured bacterium. RNAcentral describes it as "partial 16S ribosomal RNA". It matches the Rfam family "Bacterial small subunit ribosomal RNA", at positions 29 to 507 of the family's 1533-position model. The record is from RNAcentral.
AACGAACGCUGGCGGCAUGCCUAACACAUGCAAGUCGAACGAGACCUUCGGGUCUAGUGGCGCACGGGUGCGUAACGCGUGGGAACCUGCCCUUAGAUUCGGAAUAACUCCCCGAAAGGGGUGCUAAUACCGGAUAAUGUCUUCGGACCAAAGAUUUAUCGCCUCUGGAUGGGCCCGCGUUGGAUUAGCUAGUUGGUAGGGUAAAAGCCUACCAAGGCGACGAUCCAUAGCUGGUCUGAGAGGAUGAUCAGCCACACUGGGACUGAGACACGGCCCAGACUCCUACGGGAGGCAGCAGUGGGGAAUAUUGGACAAUGGGCGAAAGCCUGAUCCAGCAAUGCCGCGUGAGUGAUGAAGGCCUUAGGGUUGUAAAGCUCUUUUACCCGGGAUGAUAAUGACAGUACCGGGAGAAUAAGCGCCGGCUAACUCCGUG